GAGCAUGUAUUUAGUCCAUAUCAGUUAUAUAUUUGAGAGAUGUUUGAUACUUAUAUCAGGCUAAGAAAACUAAAUAAUACUUUUUAACUAGUCUUUUUAGAUAAGGUCAUGGAUUGUUAGAUUUGAUAUCAAAGCAGAUCUGGCCUAUUGCCAAUAUAACUAGGGGAUCUUGCAGCACAAACCUUCUUUGGGUUGACCAUAGACAAAUUGUGGUGUUUGUGGAUGUAUGAUCGAUUUUGACUAGAUUUAGAUCCUUAUAGCUGGGCAAAGACGUCGGAACUAAAUGGGGUGUAUGUUUAGUCCUAGGUUACUUAUACAUAGAAGAGAUCUUAGUAUCUAUAUAGAGCCUAGGAACUUAAAUAAUAUCUUCUUACUAAUUGUUUUGAGAUGAGGUCUUGAAUUGUUAUAAUAAUUUUUUAGCGAAAGGACAUUGAAAGAAGAGUUGACUUGUAUUCCUAAACUUCAACCACAAACAUUGCAACCAAAGCUCAUUGACAACCUUUUCCUAUAUGUAGUCAACCUUUAAGGGCAAGCCACAUGGAUAGCCUCAUUUAGGCACUAAAUUUCUUUAUAAGGG
RNAcentral lists this long non-coding RNA (577 nucleotides) under Phoenix dactylifera (date palm). RNAcentral describes it as "long non-coding RNA (PDAC_LNC018325)". Lineage: Eukaryota; Viridiplantae; Streptophyta; Magnoliopsida; Arecales; Arecaceae. The record is from RNAcentral.